GAUGAACGCUGGCGGCGUGCCUAAUACAUGCAAGUCGAGCGAACAGACGAGGAGCUUGCUCCUCUGACGUUAGCGGCGGACGGGUGAGUAACACGUGGAUAACCUACCUAUAAGACUGGGAUAACUUCGGGAAACCGGAGCUAAUACCGGAUAAUAUAUUGAACCGCAUGGUUCAAUAGUGAAAGACGGUUUUGCUGUCACUUAUAGAAGGAUCCGCGCCGCAUUAGCUAGUUGGUAAGGUAACGGCUUACCAAGGCAACGAUGCGUAGCCGACCUGAGAGGGUGAUCGGCCACACCGGAACUGAGACACGGUCCAGACUCCUACGGGAGGCAGCAGUAGGGAAUCUUCCGCAAUGGGCGAAAGCCUGACGGAGCAACGCCGCGUGAGUGAUGAAGGUCUUCGGAUCGUAAAACUCUGUUAUUAGGGAAGAACAAAUGUGUAAGUAACUAUGCACGUCUUGACGGUACCUAAUCAGAAAGCCACGGCUAACUACGUG
Molecule: ribosomal RNA, 497 nt
Filed under: uncultured bacterium
Lineage: Bacteria
Description: partial 16S ribosomal RNA
Rfam family: Bacterial small subunit ribosomal RNA
Source: RNAcentral